Molecule: ribosomal RNA, 1043 nt
Filed under: Cordyceps tenuipes
Lineage: Eukaryota; Fungi; Ascomycota; Sordariomycetes; Hypocreales; Cordycipitaceae
Description: SSU rRNA
Rfam family: Eukaryotic small subunit ribosomal RNA
Source: RNAcentral
UGCAUGUCUAAGUAUAAGCAAUUAUACAGCGAAACUGCGAAUGGCUCAUUAUAUAAGUUAUCGUUUAUUUGAUAGUACCUUACUACUUGGAUAACCGUGGUAAUUCUAGAGCUAAUACAUGCUAAAAAUCCCGACUUCGGAAGGGAUGUAUUUAUUAGAUUAAAAACCAAUGCCCUCUGGGCUCCUUGGUGAUUCAUGAUAACUCUUCGAAUCGCACGGCCUUGCGCCGGCGAUGGUUCAUUCAAAUUUCUUCCCUAUCAACUUUCGAUGUUUGGGUAUUGGCCAAACAUGGUUGCAACGGGUAACGGAGGGUUAGGGCUCGACCCCGGAGAAGGAGCCUGAGAAACGGCUACUACAUCCAAGGAAGGCAGCAGGCGCGCAAAUUACCCAAUCCCGAUUCGGGGAGGUAGUGACAAUAAAUACUGAUACAGGGCUCUUUUGGGUCUUGUAAUUGGAAUGAGUACAAUUUAAAUCCCUUAACGAGGAACAAUUGGAGGGCAAGUCUGGUGCCAGCAGCCGCGGUAAUUCCAGCUCCAAUAGCGUAUAUUAAAGUUGUUGUGGUUAAAAAGCUCGUAGUUGAACCUUGGGCCUGGCUGGCCGGUCCGCCUCACCGCGUGCACUGGUCCGGCCGGGCCUUUCCCUCUGUGGAACCCCAUGCCCUUCACUGGGCGUGGCGGGGAAACAGGACGUUUACUUUGAAAAAAUUAGAGUGCUCCAGGCAGGCCUAUGCUCGAAUACAUUAGCAUGGAAUAAUGAAAUAGGACGCGUGGUUCUAUUUUGUUGGUUUCUAGGACCGCCGUAAUGAUUAAUAGGGACAGUCGGGGGCAUCAGUAUUCAAUUGUCAGAGGUGAAAUUCUUGGAUUUAUUGAAGACUAACUACUGCGAAAGCAUUUGCCAAGGAUGUUUUCAUUAAUCAGGAACGAAAGUUAGGGGAUCGAAGACGAUCAGAUACCGUCGUAGUCUUAACCAUAAACUAUGCCGACUAGGGAUCGGACGAUGUUAUUUUUUGACGCGUUCGGCACCUUACGAGAAAUCAAAGUGCU